UGCCAGUGAUGAUUUGCCAUGCUAAUACCGAUGCACCAGGCUGGACCUCAUGGUCAUAUGCUUUGGGUGCAGCUGAGUUAAAAUUUGCUUCUCGCAAUACUUGUGGGAUCUGAGGCAU
Small nucleolar RNA from Erpetoichthys calabaricus (reedfish), 118 nucleotides. The record is from Ensembl. NCBI's taxonomy places the organism in Eukaryota, Metazoa, Chordata, Cladistia, Polypteriformes, Polypteridae.